Long non-coding RNA from Chelmon rostratus (copperband butterflyfish), 472 nucleotides. RefSeq lists it as uncharacterized. The transcript is spliced from 3 exons. Lineage: Eukaryota; Metazoa; Chordata; Actinopteri; Chaetodontiformes; Chaetodontidae. The record is from RefSeq and is a predicted model, not a curated record.
AUUCUCGCUUAUCAUCAGGUUAGGGUUGGGGCAGCUUCCAGAUUCUGGAAGAUUCCACAUUCCAUAUUAUGGACAGUUCCGAUAUGGAAGUGCAGAAUUUGGAAGCCUUCCAUAUUCCUGCCUGUUGAGUUGAAAUGAGGAAUCGCUUGUAGGUGAAAAUAUGGAAUCUUCCACAUUCUCACCUGUUACCUGAGAAGGUCAACUUUUUCACUUCCUGUGUCAACAGGAAGUAGCAGCAACGAGGAUAUAGCAGAACCAAGUGGGGAAGAGCAAGUCUGGCAGCUGCCAAGCACGGUCCAAGUGGUGACAGUAACAAAUGCAGGCAGGACAUCUGCUGUUGAUGUGGCGUGAAGAUGCUCAAAGAUAUCUCUGGAUCCAGCAGCUCAUCCAUACUCAAACAUCCCGUGGGCUUUCAAACCAGCAGCCCAUCGUGCACAGACCAACAAAGCGAGGGCGAUUGGUGCCCCCCCCC